RNAcentral lists this non-coding RNA (29 nucleotides) under Bombyx mori (domestic silkworm). Lineage: Eukaryota; Metazoa; Arthropoda; Insecta; Lepidoptera; Bombycidae. The record is from RNAcentral.
GCGGACACUACCUCCGUCCUUCACGGACC